UACAACAACAAACAAGUUUGACCUCAAAUCAGGUAAGAAUACCCGCUGAACUUAAGCAUAUCAAUAAGCGGAGGAAAAGAAACCAACAGGGAUUGCCUUAGUAGCGGCGAGUGAAGCGGCAAUAGCUCAAAUUUGAAAUCUGGCACCUUCGGUGUCCGAGUUGUAAUUUGAAGAAGGUAUCUUUGGUUUUGGCUCUUGUCUAUGUUUCUUGGAACAGGACGUCAUAGAGGGUGAGAAUCCCGUCUGAUGAGAUGCCCAAUUCCAUGUAAAGUUCCUUCGACGAGUCGAGUUGUUUGGGAAUGCAGCUCUAAGUGGGUGGUAAAUUCCAUCUAAAGCUAAAUAUUGGCGAGAGACCGAUAGCGAACAAGUACUGUGAAGGAAAGAUGAAAAGAACUUUGAAAAGAGAGUGAAAAAGUACGUGAAAUUGUUGAAAGGGAAGGGUUUGAGGUCAGACUUGGUUUACCAGGCCAGCAUCGGUUUAGAUGGCAGGAUAAUGGCAAAGGAAUGUGGCUUGG
RNAcentral lists this ribosomal RNA (515 nucleotides) under Yamadazyma spencermartinsiae. Its description in RNAcentral is "eukaryotic LSU rRNA". It matches the Rfam family "Eukaryotic large subunit ribosomal RNA", at positions 1 to 506 of the family's 3401-position model. The record is from RNAcentral. Lineage: Eukaryota; Fungi; Ascomycota; Pichiomycetes; Serinales; Debaryomycetaceae.